Molecule: ribosomal RNA, 434 nt
Filed under: uncultured bacterium
Lineage: Bacteria
Description: bacterial SSU rRNA
Rfam family: Bacterial small subunit ribosomal RNA
Source: RNAcentral
GAACGCGAAGAACCUUACCUGGCCUUGACAUAGUAGAGACUUUCCAGAGAUGGAUUGGUGCCUUCGGGAAUCUACAUACAGGUGCUGCAUGGCUGUCGUCAGCUCGUGUCGUGAGAUGUUGGGUUAAGUCCCGCAACGAGCGCAACCCUUUUCCUUACUUGCCAGCAUUUCGGAUGGGAACUUUAAGGAUACUGCCAGUGACAAACUGGAGGAAGGCGGGGACGACGUCAAGUCAUCAUGGCCCUUACGGCCAGGGCUACACACGUGCUACAAUGGUCGGUACAAAGGGUUGCUACACAGCGAUGUGAUGCUAAUCUCAAAAAGCCGAUCGUAGUCCGGAUCGCAGUCUGCAGCUCGACUGCGUGAAGUCGGAAUCGCUAGUAAUCGCGGAUCAGAAUGCCGCGGUGAAUACGUUCCCGGGUCUUGUACACACC